UUUUUUAAAUUCACCUUUAAAUUAGAAGCGCUUUCACUCGGACAUCAAUGAAUUUCCGCCUUUCCAUUUUUCAUCGCUUCGAGCCGAAGCUGAAUCGUUCCCGUUUUUAAAACAUAUAUAUGUAUACACGGAAAAGCGCGAUGCAACGUGAACGGAGCUAUAAACACGAACGCGAAGAUUGCGAGGAUUCGCUUGUCAAUUUUCCGCAGCGGAACCGCCCAGUUCCUCGCUUAACCCGAUUUGGAAAGUCGUCCGCGGUCCAAAUUACCGUAGAAUCCACCUCGUUCCUGCGUACCGAGGAUGCGAAGUGUCCUCCCCGGUCCCGGAAGGCCCUAGGAUUCGUCUGCCAAUGUGCGCGACUCGCUCCCGACAACCCUACGGCGGCGCGCAUCGUGAUUCCAACAGGGACCAUCCGCAUCCCGCGGUACAGCCACCCCAUCCCAUCCCUUAUCCGUUCUAUUCACCUGCCCCGUACCCGUCACGUUGCCCUCCGUACGAUCCGUACGCGGCGUACCACUGCCCGGGUACGUCGUUCUAUCCGGCGCCCAGCUACUGCGCUCAGCAGAACGACGUUGCUAAGGAGGAGCAGCCCGCGGUUUGGUCCUGGUACACCGUCGCAAUUCUCACCAUUCUCGCGAUCGGUUUACUCGUGAUCGUCUACCGUAUAAGCUUCUCCCGCGAGACUCGCCGAAAGAUCGCCACUUGGUUGCGCUCGCCCAGGCUCGCGCCACAGGGCUCUAAUCGCGGGGACUGAGUCCCCGUAAAAGGGAUCGAUUCCCGCGUGCGACGAACCUGCCCUGACCUCUCUGUCCGUCUGUCUUUCUCGGCUCGUGCAGACCGCCGCCGCGCCGACGGAAGCGACGCAGGACGCGGCGCAGAAUUGUCCCGCGGAAUUUCUCCGGCGCACCGAGCGGAACCGGGAUCACGGUCCUUCCCGCGUGGGAAGUCGCGGCGAGUCCUAUUCGUUAACAGACGCGGUAACGAAGACGUUCGUAAAUCCCGUCUACGAGGACGACGAUCGAGACGAAAGCGAGAACGAGGAGAGCGAAAGCGUGCGGAGCGAAAUCACGGUCGACACCGAGAGAUAUCAAUCGAUCCUACGAUAUUUCCACUUCGAAAAUUGAUUGUCAAUAACCAGGGACAGAAAAACAAAGUGAAAAUCUGAAACGUAUGUAAAGGACUGCAGUACAAUCAAGAGAAACGAGACGAGACGUGUGAUUGAAUAAAUUACUGAGCAGCCAACAAGGACAAGUAAUAAAUGCUUUCGACGAGAAAAGUUUCUAUUUUGUUCGGGUAAGAUCAGGGAAUCAAUGCAAUUUCGAUGAGUAAAAUUCAUAAAUAGAUCCUAAAGCUUGAAAUCAUGUUAACGAAUGAUUAGAUAUAAUCAUAUUUAAUAAAAUUAAAUAUUGAAAAUCA
Molecule: long non-coding RNA, 1416 nt
Organism: Wasmannia auropunctata (little fire ant)
Lineage: Eukaryota; Metazoa; Arthropoda; Insecta; Hymenoptera; Formicidae
Exons: 2
Source: RefSeq, a predicted model, not a curated record